This 347-nucleotide long non-coding RNA is filed under the name Ricinus communis (castor bean). Its description in RNAcentral is "long non-coding RNA (RCOM_LNC000323)". Lineage: Eukaryota; Viridiplantae; Streptophyta; Magnoliopsida; Malpighiales; Euphorbiaceae. The record is from RNAcentral.
UCGGAUGGAGUUGGGAUGGAGCUUAUGGAGAUGUUCGUAUCUAGGAUAAUUGCCUUAAUGAAAGGAUCAAAUGGCAAUCUGAUGCCAGCUUUUAAUUGUUCCUCAUAUAAGACAAUGUGAUUUGCCUCAAGAGCAUUGUUGCCCAUGAAGUGUGCGGGACACUCUUUUAAGACAAACUCGGGAGGUAUCUUAUACUGAUCUCUGAUUUGGUUUAGACGAGCAAGAUCUAUUUUAGAUGGGUAUAGAUGAUGGUAAUUUUUGUCAGUUUCAGAUGAUGAUUCAGGACUCUCGACCUCUUCCUGAUGGGAAGAAGGUCUAUCUCUACUCUCUAAAUCCACACAAACAUC